UACAGCAUCUUUCUCUGCUGGUUUCUGCUCUGCGCUUUUCCGAGCUCAGUGUUGUGAAAAUGUAUACUACAAAGCAGAAGAUUCACAAGGAUAAGGAUGCUGAACCCACUGAAUUUGAAGAGUCAGUGGCACAGGCUUUCUUUGAUCUGGAAAAUACCAACCAGGAACUGAAAAGUGACAUGAAGGAUCUCUACAUCAAUUCAGCAAUCCAAAUCGAUGUUGCUGGGAACCGUAAGGCUGUUGUUAUCCAUGUUCCUUUCAG
Molecule: unclassified non-coding RNA, 262 nt
Filed under: Hevea brasiliensis (rubber tree)
Lineage: Eukaryota; Viridiplantae; Streptophyta; Magnoliopsida; Malpighiales; Euphorbiaceae
Source: RNAcentral